RNAcentral lists this non-coding RNA (24 nucleotides) under Cricetulus griseus (Chinese hamster). The record is from RNAcentral. Lineage: Eukaryota; Metazoa; Chordata; Mammalia; Rodentia; Cricetidae.
ACAAAGAAUUGACUCUGAUGAGCU